GUCAGGAGGGCUGAGUGGUCUAAGACGCCAGACUCAAGUUCUGGUCUCCCUCAGGAGAUGUGGGUUCAAAUCCCACUCCUGACA
RNAcentral lists this transfer RNA (84 nucleotides) under Chrysemys picta bellii (western painted turtle). RNAcentral describes it as "tRNA-Leu (CAA) (tRNA-Leu-CAA-4-1)". It matches the Rfam family "tRNA". From Rfam's summary of the family: Transfer RNA (tRNA) molecules are approximately 80 nucleotides in length. Their secondary structure includes four short double-helical elements and three loops (D, anti-codon, and T loops). Lineage: Eukaryota; Metazoa; Chordata; Testudines; Emydidae. The record is from RNAcentral.